Molecule: long non-coding RNA, 419 nt
Filed under: Physcomitrium patens
Lineage: Eukaryota; Viridiplantae; Streptophyta; Bryopsida; Funariales; Funariaceae
Description: long non-coding RNA (PPAT_LNC011754)
Source: RNAcentral
UAGGGUUUGGUUUAGAGUUUAAGGUUUGUAUUAGGGUUUGGUUAGGGUUUGGUUUAGGAUUUAGGGUUUGUAUUAGGGUUUGGUUAGGAUUUGAAUUAAGAUUUGGUUUAGAGUUUGGUUAGGAUUUGAUUUAGGAUUUAGGAUUUGGUUAAGAUUUGAUUUAGGGUUUGAUUUAGGAUUUGGUUGGAUUUUGGUUUAAGAUUUGUUUAGGGUUUGAUUUAGGUUUUAGAAUUUUAUUAGGAUUUAAGAUUUAAUUAGGUUUGGCUUGAAGUUUGAAUGAAGUUCAAUAAGAUUUUAAUUAGAAUUAAAUUAAGAUUGAGUUGAGUUGUAUUUGAAUGAUAAUUGUGAUCCUUCUAAUAUUUCUUUAAGAAUUUUUAUUGUUUGAUAGAAAUUUCUUUGAAAUUUUUUCGAAUUUGAUU